This 407-nucleotide ribosomal RNA is filed under the name uncultured organism. RNAcentral describes it as "bacterial SSU rRNA". It matches the Rfam family "Bacterial small subunit ribosomal RNA", at positions 346 to 746 of the family's 1533-position model. The record is from RNAcentral.
GCGCAGCAGUCGAGAAUUUUUCUCAAUGGGGGAAACCCUGAAGGAGCGACGCCGCGUGGAGGAUGAAGGCUUUCGGGUUGUAAACUCCUGUCAUUUGGGAACAAGUUGGACGCAGUUACUACGCGUCCAUUGAUAGUACCAGAAGAGGAAGAGACGGCUAACUCUGUGCCAGCAGCCGCGGUAAUACAGAGGUCUCAAGCGUUGUUCGGAUUCAUUGGGCGUAAAGGGUGCGUAGGUGGCGUCGUAAGUCAGAUGUGAAAUCUCGGGGCUUAACUCCGAAACUGCAUUUGAUACUGCGGUGCUUGAGGACUGGAGAGGAGACUGGAAUUUACGGUGUAGCAGUGAAAUGCGUAGAGAUCGUAAGGAAGACCUGUGGCGAAGGCGGGUCUCUGGACAGUUCCUGACAC